Molecule: ribosomal RNA, 465 nt
Filed under: Vreelandella stevensii
Lineage: Bacteria; Pseudomonadati; Pseudomonadota; Gammaproteobacteria; Oceanospirillales; Halomonadaceae
Description: partial 16S ribosomal RNA
Rfam family: Bacterial small subunit ribosomal RNA
Source: RNAcentral
CCUACGGGUGGCUGCAGUGGGGAAUAUUGGACAAUGGGGGCAACCCUGAUCCAGCCAUGCCGCGUGUGUGAAGAAGGCCCUCGGGUUGUAAAGCACUUUCAGUGAGGAAGAACGCCUGGUGGUUAAUACCCAUCAGGAAAGACAUCACUCACAGAAGAAGCACCGGCUAACUCCGUGCCAGCAGCCGCGGUAAUACGGAGGGUGCGAGCGUUAAUCGGAAUUACUGGGCGUAAAGCGCGCGUAGGUGGCUUGAUAAGCCGGUUGUGAAAGCCCCGGACUCAACCUGGGAACGGCAUCCGGAACUGUCAAGCUAGAGUGCAGGAGAGGAAGGUAGAAUUCCCGGUGUAGCGGUGAAAUGCGUAGAGAUCGGGAGGAAUACCAGUGGCGAAGGCGGCCUUCUGGACUGACACUGACACUGAGGUGCGAAAGCGUGGGUAGCAAACAGGAUUAGAUACCCGAGUAGUC